ACCAGACUCCUACGGGAGGCAGCAGUGGGGAAUAUUGCACAAUGGGGGAAACCCUGAUGCAGCGACGCCGCGUGAAGGAAGAAGUAUUUCGGUAUGUAAACUUCUAUCAGCAGGGAAGAAAAUGACGGUACCUGACUAAGAAGCCCCGGCUAACUACGUGCCAGCAGCCGCGGUAAUACGUAGGGGGCAAGCGUUAUCCGGAUUUACUGGGUGUAAAGGGAGCGUAGGCGGUGCAGCAAGUCAGAAGUGAAAGCCCGGGGCUCAACACCGGGACUGCUUUUGAAACUGUUGAACUAGAGUGCAAGAGAGGUAAGUGGAAUUCCUAGUGUAGCGGUGAAAUGCGUAGAUAUUAGGAGGAACACCAGUGGCGAAGGCGGCCUGCUGGACGACAACUGACGGUGAGGCGCGAAAGCGUGGGGAGCAAACAGGAUUAGAUACCCCUGUACUG
RNAcentral lists this ribosomal RNA (448 nucleotides) under uncultured bacterium. Its description in RNAcentral is "bacterial SSU rRNA". It matches the Rfam family "Bacterial small subunit ribosomal RNA", at positions 330 to 793 of the family's 1533-position model. The record is from RNAcentral.